ACUUGUAAGCUAUCACCUUAAGAGCGGCCCGCGCUCUAUCAGGUAGUUGGUAGGGUAAUGGCCUACCAAGCCUUAGACGGACAGCUGGCUUGAGAGAGUGGUCAGCCACAUCGGGACUGAGACACUGCCCGGACUCCUACGGGAGGCUGCAGUCGAGAAUCUUUCUCAAUGGGCGAAAGCCUGAAGACGCGACGCCGCGUGGGGGAUGAAGGUCUUCGGAUUGUAAACCCCUUUUAUCGGGGAGGAAUGUUGAACGGUGAACAAUCGUUCAGCUUGACUGUACUCGGUGAAUAAGCCACGGCUAACUCCGUGCCAGCAGCCGCGGUAAUACGGAGGUGGCGAGCGUUACUCGGUUUGACUGGGUGUAAAGGGUCCGUAGGCGGCCAUAUAAGUGUGAGGUGAAAUCCUUCGGCUUAACCGGAGAAUUGCCUUUCAAACUAUUUGGCUCGAGGAUGGGAGAAGAGAGCAGAACUGUCAGUGUAAGAGUGAAAUCUGUGGAUAUUGACAGGAAUGCCUGUGGUGUAGACGGCUCUCUAGUCCAUUCCUGACGCUGAGGGACGAAAGCUAGGGGAGCAAACAGGAUUAGAUACCCUGGUAGUCCUAGCUGUAAACGAUGGACACUAGGUGUCUGCUUUUUAAGUGGAUGCCGUAGGUAACCCGAUAAGUGUCCCACCUGGGGACUACGGUCGCAAGACUAAAACUCAAAGGAAUUGACGGGGGCCCGCACAAGCGGUGGAACACGUGGUUUAAUUCGAUGCUACGCGAGGAACCUUACCAGGGUUUGACAUGUAGGAAGUAGUGCCCCGAAAGGGGUUACGACCAGUAUCCAAUCUGGAACUUACACAGGUGCCGCAUGGUUGUCGUCAGCUCGUGCCGUGAGGUGUUUCCUUAAGUGGAAGAACGAGCGAAACCCUCGCCCUUUGUUGCAACCUCGGCGAAAGUCGGGGGCACUCUAAGGGGACUGCCCGCGUUAAGUGGGAGGAAGGCGGGGACGACGUCAAAUCCGCAUGGCCCUUAUAUCCUGGGCUACACACGUGUUACAAUGCCUAUCACAGUGGGACGCCAAACCGUAAGGUGGAGCAAAUCUCAUAAAAAAUAGGCCCAGUUCGGAUUGAGGGCUGCAACUCGUCCUCAUGAAGUUGGAAUCGCUAGUAAUGGCGUAUCAGCUACGAUGCCGUGAAUACGUUCCCGGGCCUUGUACACACCGCCCGUCAAGCGCUGAAAGUGGGGGGCACCCGAAGCUCAACCCUAGGUUGAUUCACGGUGAAUUCCAUGAUUGGCGCUAAGUCGCAACAAGGUA
RNAcentral lists this ribosomal RNA (1300 nucleotides) under metagenome. Its description in RNAcentral is "bacterial SSU rRNA". It matches the Rfam family "Bacterial small subunit ribosomal RNA", at positions 198 to 1498 of the family's 1533-position model. The record is from RNAcentral.